GAAUCUUCCACAAUGGACGAAAGCCCGCUCCACCCACGCCGCGUGUGUGAAGAAGAUCUUCGGCUUGUAAAGCACCUUAAGCAGGGGGGAAGGGCAGUAAGCGAGUACCUUGCUGAUUUUACGUUACCGACAGAAUAAGCACCGGCGCACUCAGUGGCAGCAGCCGCGGUAAUACAGAGGGUGCAAGCGUUAAACGGAAUUACUGGGCGUAAAGCGCGCGUAGGUGGUACAUUAAGUUGGAAGUGAAAGCCCCGGGCUCAACCUGGGAACUGCAUCGAAAACUGGCGAGCUAGAGUAGGGCAGAGGGUGGUGGAAUUUCCUGUGUAGCGGUGAAGUGCGUAGAUAUAGGAAGGAACACCAGUGGCGAAGGCGACCACCUGGGCUCAUACUGACACUGAGGUGCGAAAGCGUGGGGAGCAAACA
RNAcentral lists this ribosomal RNA (423 nucleotides) under uncultured bacterium. RNAcentral's name for it is "partial 16S ribosomal RNA". It matches the Rfam family "Bacterial small subunit ribosomal RNA", at positions 359 to 774 of the family's 1533-position model. The record is from RNAcentral.